CGAAUGCUGACAUAAGUAACGAUAAAGCGGGUGAAAAGCCCGCUCGCCGGAAGACCAAGGGUUCCUGUCCAACGUUAAUCGGGGCAGGGUGAGUCGACCCCUAAGGCGAGGCCGAAAGGCGUAGUCGAUGGGAAACAGGUUAAUAUUCCUGUACUUGGUGUUACUGCGAAGGGGGGACGGAGAAGGCUAUGUUGGCCGGGCGACGGUUGUCCCGGUUUAAGCGUGUAGGCUGGUUUUCCAGGCAAAUCCGGAAAAUCAAGGCUGAGGCGUGAUGACGAGGCACUACGGUGCUGAAGCAACAAAUGCCCUGCUUCCAGGAAAAGCCUCUAAGCAUCAGGUAACAUCAAAUCGUACCCCAAACCGACACAGGUGGUCAGGUAGAGAAUACCAAGGCGCUUGAGAGAACUCGGGUGAAGGAACUAGGCAAAAUGGUGCCGUAACUUCGGGAGAAGGCACGCUGAUAUGUAGGUGA
This 472-nucleotide ribosomal RNA is filed under the name Escherichia coli. Its description in RNAcentral is "partial 23S ribosomal RNA". It matches the Rfam family "Bacterial large subunit ribosomal RNA", at positions 1291 to 1765 of the family's 2925-position model. The record is from RNAcentral. Lineage: Bacteria; Pseudomonadati; Pseudomonadota; Gammaproteobacteria; Enterobacterales; Enterobacteriaceae.